This is a long non-coding RNA of Oxyura jamaicensis (ruddy duck), 202 nucleotides long. RefSeq lists it as uncharacterized. Lineage: Eukaryota; Metazoa; Chordata; Aves; Anseriformes; Anatidae. The transcript is spliced from 3 exons. The record is from RefSeq and is a predicted model, not a curated record.
CAAAGUUACAGCUGGGGAAGAUCAGUCACAGAGAGAAAAGAAAUGCAGAGCCAGACAACAAAUACAGGGAACUAAAGAGAAGAAAUUCUCGCUGGGAAUGCCUCAGCGGCGCUUCUGGAACUGUCUGCAUCUAAUUCCCAGACUCAGAGGACCCUUGUGUGUAUGUGAACCAUGAAAACGAUGAAGGAGAAGUAACAUAAAC